This 201-nucleotide unclassified non-coding RNA is filed under the name Hevea brasiliensis (rubber tree). The record is from RNAcentral. Lineage: Eukaryota; Viridiplantae; Streptophyta; Magnoliopsida; Malpighiales; Euphorbiaceae.
CGGUGGUGAUGCCCAUGGUGGUUAUAAUCCGAUGAAUUCUCUGGUGACCACCUCCUGUGAUGCCUAUGACACCCAUCAGAAUCAGACAUCUGCUCAUGGGGGUGGUGGCGGCGACGCUUGGAUUUCCUGUGGCUCUUCCUCCUCUCUUCAGAAUCUGAAGACAAAUCAUCUUCACUUGAUCGGUGAUGGCGGUGGCAUUUG